RNAcentral lists this ribosomal RNA (1291 nucleotides) under Salmonella enterica subsp. enterica serovar Typhi. RNAcentral describes it as "partial 23S ribosomal RNA". It matches the Rfam family "Bacterial large subunit ribosomal RNA", at positions 1657 to 2925 of the family's 2925-position model. The record is from RNAcentral. Lineage: Bacteria; Pseudomonadati; Pseudomonadota; Gammaproteobacteria; Enterobacterales; Enterobacteriaceae.
ACACAGGUGGUCAGGUAGAGAAUACCAAGGCGCUUGAGAGAACUCGGGUGAAGGAACUAGGCAAAAUGGUGCCGUAACUUCGGGAGAAGGCACGCUGACACGUAGGUGAAGUGAUUUACUCACGGAGCUGAAGUCAGCCGAAGAUACCAGCUGGCUGCAACUGUUUAUUAAAAACACAGCACUGUGCAAACACGAAAGUGGACGUAUACGGUGUGACGCCUGCCCGGUGCCGGAAGGUUAAUUGAUGGGGUCAGCGCAAGCGAAGCUCCUGAUCGAAGCCCCGGUAAACGGCGGCCGUAACUAUAACGGUCCUAAGGUAGCGAAAUUCCUUGUCGGGUAAGUUCCGACCUGCACGAAUGGCGUAAUGAUGGCCAGGCUGUCUCCACCCGAGACUCAGUGAAAUUGAACUCGCUGUGAAGAUGCAGUGUACCCGCGGCAAGACGGAAAGACCCCGUGAACCUUUACUAUAGCUUGACACUGAACAUUGAGCCUUGAUGUGUAGGAUAGGUGGGAGGCUUUGAAGUGUGGACGCCAGUCUGCAUGGAGCCGACCUUGAAAUACCACCCUUUAAUGUUUGAUGUUCUAACGUGGACCCGUGAUCCGGGUUGCGGACAGUGUCUGGUGGGUAGUUUGACUGGGGCGGUCUCCUCCUAAAGAGUAACGGAGGAGCACGAAGGUUGGCUAAUCCUGGUCGGACAUCAGGAGGUUAGUGCAAUGGCAUAAGCCAGCUUGACUGCGAGCGUGACGGCGCGAGCAGGUGCGAAAGCAGGUCAUAGUGAUCCGGUGGUUCUGAAUGGAAGGGCCAUCGCUCAACGGAUAAAAGGUACUCCGGGGAUAACAGGCUGAUACCGCCCAAGAGUUCAUAUCGACGGCGGUGUUUGGCACCUCGAUGUCGGCUCAUCACAUCCUGGGGCUGAAGUAGGUCCCAAGGGUAUGGCUGUUCGCCAUUUAAAGUGGUACGCGAGCUGGGUUUAGAACGUCGUGAGACAGUUCGGUCCCUAUCUGCCGUGGGCGCUGGAGAACUGAGGGGGGCUGCUCCUAGUACGAGAGGACCGGAGUGGACGCAUCACUGGUGUUCGGGUUGUCAUGCCAAUGGCACUGCCCGGUAGCUAAAUGCGGAAGAGAUAAGUGCUGAAAGCAUCUAAGCACGAAACUUGCCCCGAGAUGAGUUCUCCCUGAGACUUUAGGUCUCCUGAAGGAACGUUGAAGACGACGACGUUGAUAGGCCGGGUGUGUAAGCGCAGCGAUGCGUUGAGCUAACCGGUACUAAUGAACCGUGAGGCUUAACCUU